Molecule: ribosomal RNA, 486 nt
Filed under: uncultured bacterium
Lineage: Bacteria
Description: bacterial SSU rRNA
Rfam family: Bacterial small subunit ribosomal RNA
Source: RNAcentral
GAUGAACGCUGGCGGCAUGCCUAACACAUGCAAGUCGAGCGGCAGCAUGCUCACUGAAUCUUUCACUAGUUGGAAGGUUUUGUGAGUGAUGGCGAGCGGCGGACGGCUGAGUAACGCGUGGGAAUCCACCCUAAAGUGAGGGAUAAGCACCGGAAACGGUGUCUAAUACCGCAUAUGGUCUUCGGAUUAAAGUUUUAACGCUUUGGGAGGAGCCCGCGUCGGAUUAGGUAGUUGGUGAGGUAAUGGCUCACCAAGCCCACGAUCCGUAGCUGGUCUGAGAGGAUGAUCAGCCAGACUGGAACUGAGAUACGGUCCAGACUCCUACGGGAGGCAGCAGUGAGGAAUAUUCCACAAUGGGCGAAAGCCUGAUGGAGCAAUGCCGCGUGCAGGAUGAAGGCCCUCGGGUCGUAAAACUGCUUUUAUAUGAGAAGAAUAUGACGGUAACAAUAAUGAAUAAGGAACCGGCGUAACUACGUAGCCAGACCG